Molecule: small nucleolar RNA, 104 nt
Filed under: Physeter macrocephalus (sperm whale)
Lineage: Eukaryota; Metazoa; Chordata; Mammalia; Artiodactyla; Physeteridae
Description: Physeter catodon (sperm whale) Small nucleolar RNA SNORA70 (ENSPCTG00005005084.1)
Rfam family: Small nucleolar RNA SNORA70
About the family: snoRNA U70 seems to be exclusive to mammals and is a member of the H/ACA class of snoRNA which contain H (ANANNA) and ACA box motifs.
Source: Rfam by way of RNAcentral
UGGCCCCCUGGACAAAUGGCGGGCCCUGCACUCGUGAGAGCCUUGGCGCUGUGUAUGCAGCCUGUUGCCUGUGUGGGUUGCCCUAAGGGACCUUGGAGACAGCC